UAUGAUCUUUCUCCUAGCUAUUUUUUCCUUUCCCUCCAGCUAGCUCCUGACCAGACCCAUCGACGUUCGAUCUCAAAUUCCUUCCAAUAGAGAUUCCGUUUCCAGGGAAUCAGUCAUUUCCGAACCACCAACUCAAUCUCUUCCAAGCAGGGGUUGACCCACGCUGCAUCUUCAAAGCCAAGACACUGAACGAGGGGGAGGUGGGGGCUCGCGCUCAUAAAAGAAGCCCGCACCACCAAGCUAUAGCCGCUACUGUUGACCAGAAGAGUCUACUUUUCAAUCGAGUCGCUUGAGCCCUCACUCAGCAAAAGAUGUAAGAUGGAGAGGUUAACUUCACCGAUCAGUUCAGUCCCAUUAAAAUUCAACAAAAAUAUGCAAUAUUUUUUACAAAGGUAAUCACUUGUGUUGAACUAUUGAUUGUAAUGGAUUGAUGACUGAUUUGAGACUAAAUUUGAGUUUGUUUGAGGCUAGAUUGAGG
Molecule: long non-coding RNA, 478 nt
Filed under: Durio zibethinus
Lineage: Eukaryota; Viridiplantae; Streptophyta; Magnoliopsida; Malvales; Malvaceae
Description: long non-coding RNA (DZIB_LNC001920)
Source: RNAcentral